RNAcentral lists this unclassified non-coding RNA (433 nucleotides) under soil metagenome. RNAcentral describes it as "partial contains 5.8S ribosomal RNA, internal transcribed spacer 2, and large subunit ribosomal RNA". The stretch from base 1 to 120 matches the Rfam family "5.8S ribosomal RNA", at positions 35 to 154 of the family's 154-position model. The record is from RNAcentral.
GAUGAAGAACGCAGCGAAAUGCGAUACGUAAUGUGAAUUGCAGAAUUCAGUGAAUCAUCGAAUCUUUGAACGCAUAUUGCGCUCUCUGGUAUUCCGGAGAGCAUGCUUGUUUGAGUAUCAGUAAACACCUCAACUCCCUUUUCUUUUUUGAAAUGGGAGCUGGACUUGAGUGAUCCCAACACUUUUCUCACUGGAAAGUGGCGGGUCACUUGAAAUGCAGGUGCAGCUGGACUUUUCUCUGAGCUAUAAGCAUAUCUAUUUAGUCUGCCUAAAAAACAGAUUAUUACCUUUUCUGCAGCUAACAUAAAGGAGAUGAGUUCUUGUGCUGACUGAUGCAGGAUUCACAGAGACAGCUUUGCGGCUGACUUUGUAAACCCGAUCUCAAAUCAAGUAAGACUACCCGCUGAACUUAAGCAUAUCAAUAAGCGGAGGA